AUGGCCUUUCGGGUCCAAGUCCAAGCCCGGACUCUGGAACCCAGACGACGACUUUGACGGCGAGGGUUGGGGCGAGCGUCUCUUCUUCUACAUCGAUUUGGCGUUUCGCCUUCUUCUCGUCUUCUCUGUUGAACGUCCCGUGGCUCUGAUUCUGCCCUAGUUUUGGGGGCAUGCAACCGCGGGUUCCAUCUUCAUUGCAUCAAUGGGUAAAUUCACAUACUUCUCAGGCAUUUGCCCCAUGUGUCGCAGGAAGUGGCAAUUAAAAGGUUGAGAAAAAAACAUUGGAAUCACUCCUUCAAGUGCAGGGGUUCCAAUUGUUAUACUGGUUGAUGUAAAGCGAACACCUCCAGUGUAUAUCUAUUGAGUAUUAGUUUAUGUAAACAAAAGUAGCUCCAUCUCUAGGUUUCAAUUUUUUACCGUUUAUUGUAUUCCUCCAUAAACCACAUUUUUGUUUAUUCGGUCUGAUGAGCGAUCCCCAGUGAGCAUAAAUAAAUUUUUGA
This is a long non-coding RNA of Prunus dulcis (almond), 500 nucleotides long. RefSeq lists it as uncharacterized. The transcript has 2 exons. Lineage: Eukaryota; Viridiplantae; Streptophyta; Magnoliopsida; Rosales; Rosaceae. The record is from RefSeq and is a predicted model, not a curated record.